This 1334-nucleotide long non-coding RNA is filed under the name Parus major (Great Tit). RNAcentral's name for it is "lncRNA (ENSPMJG00000004989.1)". The record is from RNAcentral. Lineage: Eukaryota; Metazoa; Chordata; Aves; Passeriformes; Paridae.
UGAUGGUAUUUAUUACAUGCUACUGAGCAAACAAAACUGAAAUCUAUUCUAAAAGGACAAAGUACACACUUCAGUAUGCAUCAAAUGCACCAGCCUACUUUCUGGUCUCCAGGUAAUGUAACCUAUAUAUUGCUGUGUGAUCCUGGCUGUAAAUAGACUCUGAGAGUUGUGAAACCACUGCCAUUUGCAUAACAGGCCAUUACUUAUCAUGGAGCUUUAGGGCAUGCAAAGCACUCUGAGUAUAGGAUGAACAUUUAUGAUGAAAUUCAAGAUACAGAUUGUAUUCAACUGUGAAUUAUCUCCUAUCAAAAAGCUGUAGAUCAUAUGACUUAAAUUUAUCUUAUAUGAAAGAAACACAGGUUCAGAAAAGAAGCUAUAAUAUAUAAAGCAUCUGUAAGCAAAGCCUGUAGAGCUUUAUCAGCGUAUUUUAGACUAAAGAUUCAUUUCUGUUACCUGAAAACUUUCUUGCAUUUUAUACAACUUUAGACAAGUUAGAUUUAAAUGUUUUAUUGUCUGGAAGAAUCUUUUUUCCUCUCUGAUAUUGAAAGAUCUUUUGCACAGAUUUACCUAUGCUGGAUUUUUUGGUGACAUAUUGGAUACCAGAUAUCCAAAUUCUUUCAUUCUUACAGACAUUAAGUAUGCACUGACUGUCUUUGUUCAAGUUAAAAAAUUAUUAAGAAGGUUAUAGAGGAAAAUACCAUUUAAAAAUACUUUGAUUCACUAUUAGUAAAGGUACUUUUGAUGAACUGCUCCACUGGACUUUGAAAAGUCCAGUUGUUAAGCAAACUCCAGCUGAACUCAUUUCACCUCAGCUAAGUACAAGUCUUCAGAAGUGUAAUAAAAAAGUGAAUUGCUGUUAUCUUGAAGGCAACAAUUCAGAAGUCAGAAGAUUAUACAUUUGAAAGAAAAUAUCUCACAUCUGACAGAAAGAUAUUUCCAUGUUGUAUGUUUGAGGGAAUAUGAGUGACUUAUUCUUACUUUCUCAACUUCACACAGGUGAAGAUCACCUCAGUGCUGAAGAAGACGAGGAAGUUUUGACUCUUUUGUAUGAUCCCUGUCUGAGCUGUUACUUUGACCUGAAUUCCAGGAAUUACUAUGAAUUGUUGGUGUGAGAUGCUGAGGCUAUCAGCUACGAUCAGCUUUACCACUGUAACACAGGGCUGGAGAGUGGUGAGGGAUUAGUCCAACACUCCAAAACUGGAGUCUUGUUUCAGGUAAGGCAAGGAGGUGUUUAUGUGAUUCAUGUGGCAAGCUGUGCUCAGAGGGCAGGUCCAACAUGUUUGUAUGAGUUUCUCCAUUACACUUUGAAAUAAAAUAAUGCAAUUCAUUUAACA